Molecule: small nucleolar RNA, 137 nt
Filed under: Piliocolobus tephrosceles (Ugandan red Colobus)
Lineage: Eukaryota; Metazoa; Chordata; Mammalia; Primates; Cercopithecidae
Source: RNAcentral
UUGGUCCUGAUUCAAGGCCAGCAGUUUGCUGAAGCUGUUGGUUUCAAGCAGAAGACUAACUAAUUGUCUUUCUAUGGUCUGUUGGCCAUCUUAUAACUUUGGAAAUGUAAUGGCCAGUUCAUUUGAAAGAAACAUCU